RNAcentral lists this ribosomal RNA (254 nucleotides) under uncultured bacterium. Its description in RNAcentral is "partial 16S ribosomal RNA". It matches the Rfam family "Bacterial small subunit ribosomal RNA", at positions 524 to 776 of the family's 1533-position model. The record is from RNAcentral.
UACGUAGGGUGCGAGCGUUAAUCGGAAUUACUGGGCGUAAAGCGUGCGCAGGCGGUUCGUUGUGUCGGCGGUGAAAUCCCCGGGCUCAACCUGGGAAUGGCCGUUGAAACUGGCGAACUGGAGUGUGGCAGAGGGGGGGUGGAAUUCCGCGUGUAGCAGUGAAAUGCGUAGAUAUUGGGAGGAACACCAGUGGCGAAGGCGGCUCACUGGACCGGUACUGACGCUGAUGCGCGAAAGCGUGGGGAGCAAACGGG